GCAGAAUAGGAAAUGAAGGGACUAAGAACACAUCAAAAACUGAAAGAGAUAAGAACUGGAAGAGAUUUUACCCCAGCCUAAAUCUUCACAAGGAACAGAAAGCCUGUGAAGCCUGUGUGACUGAGGUUUUUGUCUGCCCUGUGCUAUCCUGUAAACACCUGCUCCCUGACACCAAGUGAAAGCUCAGUCUUCUUAUACUGCACUGCCACUAUCAAACAAAGAUCCACCAUGUCUUCUGCAGGAGUACCUGAUGUGGACCCCGAUGCUGAUUUUGUAUACGACUAUGAAACUCUGCGUAUUAUUGGUUUGACUUUGCUGGAGUCCUUGUGUUCCUGUCCAUUCUCCUUCUUGUCGGCAACCGCAUUCGUUGCUGUGGAAAGUCCAAGCGCAAAGCAGUGGGUGAAGCAAUCUAAACAUGGCCCUGGCACUUAAAAAAACUGUGUAGAUGAGAGGUGUAGGUGUAAUAAAAUGUAUUUUUAAAUGAUGAAAUUAAGUAUUUUAUUUUAGGUAUUAAAAAUCUAUAUGAAUUCCUUCAAAGAAUAUUUGUGCUGCACUAUGUACUCUAAAUGAAGACAUUGUGUGCCCAUAUAUUCUGGAAUUAAAAAAAUACAUGCAUACACUGUGUUGAAAGUGUAGUGAAGCACAUAGUGAUUUAAAAUACAAAUUUAUCUUGGAGCAGACAGAAGCAGGAUGGAAAAAUACAGUAUAGUAAUUGAAUAAUAAUAAUAACAGCAACCCUAUAAUAUGACACAAGGUGGCAGCAACGUGUAAUCUCUGUAGUAGUAGAGCAUAUCGUUCCAGUGCAUUUUAACAGCAAGCAGAAAUAAAUAAAACAUUAGUACAAUAUUAAUUUUAUUAAACUUCUUAUAACACGAAUAAACCUAUUUUAUAGAAUUCGUGAAUGUUCUCUCAUUUAUUCACUGUCCAUAAAAAAUUUGGAAACAAAAUAAAAGCUUUUAUCUUUU
This is a long non-coding RNA of Silurus meridionalis, 965 nucleotides long. RefSeq lists it as uncharacterized. NCBI's taxonomy places the organism in Eukaryota, Metazoa, Chordata, Actinopteri, Siluriformes, Siluridae. The transcript is spliced from 6 exons. The record is from RefSeq and is a predicted model, not a curated record.